RNAcentral lists this ribosomal RNA (274 nucleotides) under uncultured bacterium. RNAcentral describes it as "partial 16S ribosomal RNA". It matches the Rfam family "Archaeal small subunit ribosomal RNA", at positions 473 to 747 of the family's 1478-position model. The record is from RNAcentral.
AAACCAGCACCUCAAGUGGUCAGGAGGUUUAUUGGGCCUAAAGCAUCCGUAGCCUGAUCUAUAAGUUUCCGGCUAAAUCCACAUGCUCAACAUUUGGGCUGCCGGAAAAACUGUAGAUCUAGGGAGUGGGAGAGGUAGACGGUACUCGAUAGGAAGGGGUAAAAUCCUUUGAUCUAUUGAUGACCACCAGUGGCGAAGGCGGUCUACCAGAACACGUUCGACGGUGAGGGAUGAAAGCUGGGGGAGCAAACCGGAUUAGAAACCCCGGUAGUCC